RNAcentral lists this ribosomal RNA (443 nucleotides) under uncultured bacterium. RNAcentral describes it as "partial 16S ribosomal RNA". It matches the Rfam family "Bacterial small subunit ribosomal RNA", at positions 338 to 795 of the family's 1533-position model. The record is from RNAcentral.
CCUACGGGGGGCAGCAGUGGGGAAUAUUGGGCAAUGGAGGAAACUCUGAACCAGCAACGCCGCGUGAAUGAUGAAGGUCUUCGGAUUGUAAAGCUCUUUUCUAAGGGAAGAAGAAAGUGACGGUACCUUAGGAAUAAGCUUCGGCUAACUACGUGCCAGCAGCCGCGGUAAUACGUAGGAGGCGAGCGUUCUCCGGAAUGACUGGGCGUAAAGGGGGCGUAGGUGGUUUGGCAAGUCAGUAGCGUAAGUCCGCGGCUCAACCUUGGAACUGCUAUUGAAACUGUUGGACUUGAGUGCAGGAGGGGUAAGCGGAAUUCCUAGUGUAGCGGUGGAAUGCGUAGAUAUUAGGAGGAACACCAGUGGCGAAGGCGGGUUGCUAGACUGUAACUGACACUGAGGCACGAAAGCGUGGGGAGCAAACAGGAUUAGAUACCCGGGUAGUC